AUAUUAAAUGUUUUUUAACUCGAUUAUCGAAGCAUGGCGUCUACAUACCUAAAAACUCAGCAGAAAGUGCAUUUUUCAAAGUGGCAAUAAUAAAAUUUAUCAGUUUAGUUUUAGAACCGAUUAAUCGAUUAUUAAAAUGAAUUUUUUAAUUGAAAAACAACUAAAUAAAUUUAUUGACCAUGGUUAGAAAAUAAUUGUUUAAUUUAGAGCGGAUGUUACGUGUCUAGUUGAGGGAGUAUAUAAAACCGAUUUUUACCAAUACAUCGAUAGUCUAGUAAUAGUAAUUGCUAGUUAACAAGAAAAUAUGAAGAUAUUCCCAAUUCUUUUGGUAGUUUCUUUUUACUGCCUCUUUAUGGUAGGAGAUACUCACGCACAAGCUUCUGGGAUCGAAAGCGAGGAAAAGGUUAGACAACUACCCAGCGAUACCCAAGAAACAAAAAGUAAUGACGAGGGCCCUACUAAAUUAGUAAGAAAUAAUAAUCCGUGCCCAAAAGGACAAAUGAAAGAUUAUAAUGGAGUGUGUCAAGUAGUAUUUGAUUAAUGAAACAUAAUCAAAAUUUGUGUUGAAAAUAAACGCUGCAAAUUAAUUUUAUUUAUUUUUUUAUUUAUAUUACUUAUCGGUACAUAGAGAAUUAGAAUGUAAUAGUUUCAAAUCCUAUGAGCGUCUUCACUUGAUCGAUAUUUUUUGGGUCUGUUUGAAUUCUCAAAAAGAAUUAGUUGCCUUAUCAUUUGAAACUAUACGUAACAGAAUCGUUAUUUCAAAAUGUCAGAUUAAUUUGAAAUUUGGCAAAAUUUCUACACCACAUUCAUCGUUUAUGAAGUGGUAUUUCAUAUUAAAUGUUUUUUAACUCGAUUAUCGAAGCAUGGCGGCUACAUACAUAAAUUCUCAGCAGAAAGUGCAUUUUUCAAAGUGGCAAUAAUAAAAUUUAUCAGUUUAGUUUUAGAACCGAUUAAUCGAUUAUUAAAAUGAAUUUUUUAAUUGAAAAAUAACUAACUAAAUUUAUUGACCAUUGUUAGAAAAUAAUUGUUUAAUUUAGGGUGGAUGUUACGUGUCAAGUUAAGGGAGUAUAUAAAACCGAUUUUUACCAAUACAUCGAUAGUCUAGUAAUAGUAAUUGCUAGUUAACAAGAAAAUAUGAAGAUAUUCCCAAUUCUUUUGGUAGUUUCUUUUUACUGCCUCUUUAUGGUAGGAGAUGCUCACGCACAAGCUUCUGGGAUCGAAAGCGAAGAAAAGGUUAGACAACUACCCAGCGAUACCCAAGAAACAAAAAGUAAUGACGAGGGCCCUACUAAAUUAGUAAGAAAUAAUGUUGAUGUUCCAAUUACGUGCACAGAAGGAUAUAUGAGAGAUGAAGAUGGAGAGUGUCAAAUAGUAUUUGAUUAAUCAAACAUAAUCAAAAUUUGUGUUGAAAAUAAACGCUGCAAAUUA
Diorhabda sublineata is the source of this 1428-nucleotide long non-coding RNA. RefSeq lists it as uncharacterized. The record is from RefSeq and is a predicted model, not a curated record. The transcript has 3 exons. Lineage: Eukaryota; Metazoa; Arthropoda; Insecta; Coleoptera; Chrysomelidae.